AGUGAACGCUGGCGGUAGGCCUAACACAUGCAAGUCGAACGGCAGCACAGUAAGCGCUUGCUCUUACUGUUGGCGAGUGGCGGACGGGUGAGGAAUACAUCGGAAUCUUCUUUUUCGUGGGGGAUAACGUAGGGAAACUUACGCUAAUACCGCAUACGACCUACGGGUGAAAGCAGGGGAUCUUCGCACCUUGCGCGAUUCAAUUAGCCGAUGUCGGAUUAGCUAGUUGGCGGGGUAAAGGCCCACCAAGGCGACGAUCCGUAGCUGGUCUGAGAGGAUGAUCAGCCACACUGGAACUGAGACACGGUCCAGACUCCUACGGGAGGCAGCAGUGGGGAAUAUUGGACAAUGGGCGAAAGCCUGAUCCAGCCAUACCGCGUGGGUGAAGAAGGCCUUCGGGUUGUAAAGCCCUUUUGUUGGGGAAGAAAAGCAGCAGGUUAAUACCCCGCUGUUCUGACGGUACCCAAAGAAUAAGCACCGGCUAACUUCGUG
Molecule: ribosomal RNA, 492 nt
Filed under: uncultured bacterium
Lineage: Bacteria
Description: partial 16S ribosomal RNA
Rfam family: Bacterial small subunit ribosomal RNA
Source: RNAcentral